Molecule: ribosomal RNA, 257 nt
Filed under: uncultured Scutellospora
Lineage: Eukaryota; Fungi; Glomeromycota; Glomeromycetes; Diversisporales; Gigasporaceae
Description: partial 18S ribosomal RNA
Rfam family: Eukaryotic small subunit ribosomal RNA
Source: RNAcentral
AAGCUCGUAGUUGAAUUUCGGGGUUCUACCGUUGGUCGGGCUAACAAGUCUGUACUAGCGUGUAGAAUCUCUACCUUCUGGGGAACCAUCAUGUUAUUAAUUUAGCGUGGUGGGAAACCAGGACCUUUACCUUGAAAAAAUUAGAGUGUUCAAAGCAGGCUUACGUCUGAAUACAUUAGCAUGGAAUUAUAAAAUAGGACGGUGGUCCUGUUUUGUUGGUUUCUGAAUCACCGUUAUGAUUAAUAGGGAUAGUUGGG